Unclassified non-coding RNA from Pongo abelii (Sumatran orangutan), 148 nucleotides. It matches the Rfam family "Metazoan signal recognition particle RNA". From Rfam's summary of the family: The signal recognition particle (SRP) is a universally conserved ribonucleoprotein. Lineage: Eukaryota; Metazoa; Chordata; Mammalia; Primates; Hominidae. The record is from Ensembl.
GCCGGGCAUGGUGGUGUGUGCCUGUAAUCCCAGCUACUGGGGAGGCUGAGGCAGGAGAAUCACUUGAACCUGGGAGUCAGAGGUUGCAGUGAGCCAAGAUUGUGCCACUGCACUCCAGCCUGGGCAACAGAGUGAGAUUCUGUCUCGA